This 165-nucleotide ribosomal RNA is filed under the name uncultured bacterium. RNAcentral's name for it is "partial 16S ribosomal RNA". It matches the Rfam family "Bacterial small subunit ribosomal RNA", at positions 359 to 535 of the family's 1533-position model. The record is from RNAcentral.
ACGGAACCUGGGCGCAGCCUGAUGCAGCGACGCCGCGUGAGGGAUGACGGCCUUCGGGUUGUAAACCUCUUUCAGUAGGGAAGAAGCGAGAGUGACGGUACCUGCAGAAGAAGCGCCGGCUAACUACGUGCCAGCAGCCGCGGUAAUUGCUCCGCGGUAUACCUA